AGCAGCCGCGGUAAUUCCAGCUCCAAUAGCGUAUAUUAAAGUUGUUGCAGUUAAAAAGCUCGUAGUUGAAUUUCGGGAUCAAUAUGUUGGUCGUGCCUUCGGUACGUACUAGCUUAUUGAUUUCUCCCUUCUGACGAACCAUGAUGUCAUUAAUUUGGUGUCAUGGGGAAUCAGGACUGUUACUUUGAAAAAAUUAGAGUGUUUAAAGCAGGCUCACGCUUGAAUACAUUAGCAUGGAAUAAUGAAAUAGGACGUUUGAUUCUAUUUUGUUGGUUUCUAGGAUCGACGUAAUGAUUAAUAGGGAUAGUUGGGGGCAUUAGUAUUCAAUUGUCAGAGGUGAAAUUCUUGGAUUUAUUGAAGACUAACUACUGCGAAAGCAUUUGCCAAGGAUGUUUUCAUUAAUCAAGAACGAAAGUUAGGGGAUCGAAGACGAUCAGAUACCGUCGUAGUCUUAACCAUAAACUAUGCCGACUAGGGAUCGGAUGAUGUUAAUUUUUAAUGACUCAUUC
Molecule: ribosomal RNA, 509 nt
Filed under: uncultured Glomus
Lineage: Eukaryota; Fungi; Glomeromycota; Glomeromycetes; Glomerales; Glomeraceae
Description: SSU rRNA
Rfam family: Eukaryotic small subunit ribosomal RNA
Source: RNAcentral